Molecule: long non-coding RNA, 297 nt
Filed under: Monodelphis domestica (gray short-tailed opossum)
Lineage: Eukaryota; Metazoa; Chordata; Mammalia; Didelphimorphia; Didelphidae
Description: lncRNA (ENSMODG00000039557.1)
Source: RNAcentral
GUUAACUCUGACACAGUAGUGAAGAUUCAUGUCCCCAAUGCAACUUCAAAGGUCACAAAGCCAGGAAAGAUGGAAUCAAAGAGGCUCAUUUUGAGUCUAGUCAAGUUCACCAACAGUCCAGAGAGGGAAGGAAUCAAUUUCACAUCCUGGACAUAAUAGGUGAAGCUACCAGAAAUCAAUGGUCAAUGAAGCUACUUAAUGGAAUCUACUGAAUUGUGAGCAGCAUGACUUGUGAGCACACUCUUCAACUAAGGAAGGAGUCUCUUUGAUACACAAUAAAUUAGUACAGCUUGCCCA